GCCUUUAUAGCUCAGUGGUAGAGCGUUGGUCUCGUAAACCAAAGGCCGAGAGUUCAAUCCUCUCUGAAGGCA
Non-coding RNA from Daphnia pulex (common water flea), 72 nucleotides. The record is from the annotation of a RefSeq genome assembly. NCBI's taxonomy places the organism in Eukaryota, Metazoa, Arthropoda, Branchiopoda, Diplostraca, Daphniidae.